Molecule: ribosomal RNA, 309 nt
Filed under: uncultured bacterium
Lineage: Bacteria
Description: bacterial SSU rRNA
Rfam family: Bacterial small subunit ribosomal RNA
Source: RNAcentral
AUUGAACGCUGGCGGCAUGCCUAACACAUGCAAGUCGAACGGUAGCAUUUCUAGCUUGCUAGAAGAUGACGAGUGGCGAACGGGUGAGUAACGCGUAGGAAUAUACCUUUUUGUGGGGGGACAACUUUAGGAAACUGAAGCUAAUACCGCAUAAUAUCUUCGGAUUAAAGCUGGGGACCUUCGGGCCUGGUGCAAAAAGAUUAGCCUGCGUCCGAUUAGCUAGUUGGUAAGGUAAAGGCUUACCAAGGCGACGAUCGGUAGCUGGUCUGAGAGGAUGAUCAGCCACACUGGGACUGAGACACGGCCCAG